GCAGUAGCCAUUGUUGCAUAGCUACUUCAAAGCCAUUCCCAGCUUGUUCCACUUGCCAACACAACCCAGCUCUGUCCCGGUGUGGGACACCCAUGUGCAUCGGAGGGGCUGGGCUUCACCACCAGGGUGAACCUUCCCCUAAGCCAAUCAAGCCCUGGGCAUUACUGUGUGAGCACAUUGUGCUUGUGCUUGUGCCUGGUGCUUGAGUUUGCUGCAGCUGUCUUGUGACCAGAAGGGGACAAACACGAGGACAAAAGCUACCGCUCAGAGCAAGGCAACACAGAAAGCUGAAAAGAGCAUGGGUCCCGAUAGAGUGCUAAGCCCCUGAAUUAACCAACCUUGACACCAAACCUUGCUCUGCUGCCGAAGUUUUUACAAGAUUUUAAGUCCCUUUAUUGUUUAGGACAUUUUGAUUUGGGUCUUCUAUUGUUUCCUGCCA
Molecule: long non-coding RNA, 439 nt
Filed under: Rhinopithecus bieti (black snub-nosed monkey)
Lineage: Eukaryota; Metazoa; Chordata; Mammalia; Primates; Cercopithecidae
Description: lncRNA (ENSRBIG00000045582.1)
Source: RNAcentral